Long non-coding RNA from Orcinus orca (killer whale), 2401 nucleotides. RefSeq lists it as uncharacterized. The transcript has 4 exons. NCBI's taxonomy places the organism in Eukaryota, Metazoa, Chordata, Mammalia, Artiodactyla, Delphinidae. The record is from RefSeq and is a predicted model, not a curated record.
GGCUCCUCCAGGGGAAGAUGAUGAGGACUUCCCUUCUCUCCCAACUCUGCUCCGAGGGUGAGACCACGGGGUGGGGGAUGAGGCCCAGGGUCUCUGAAGCCCUGGGACGUCUUGCUCAGCGCAGCCUCGUCCUUUCAGUACGGCUGAGGUUUCUUCCUGGGAAUCUCCGUCAGCAACUGGAAGGGCCCGGCUGGCAAGCGCUGGGGAACGAGGCUCCACACCUGCUGUCUCCUGGCUGGAGAGAGGGUGCAGCUCUGCCGAUGAAAUUCUACGUGGAUUAAUUAAAGUGGGGGAAAGCAUUUCAUUGUUGGAUCUUGUUACGGAGGUACCAGAGCCUCUUUUUUGGUGGUGGUGGUGGGGAACAUGCUCCAAGCCUAGGGUUUUUUUUUUUUUUUUUGGCCAGGCUGCGCGGCUUUCGGGAUCUUACUUCCCUGCCAGGGAUCGAUCCCAGGCCCCGGGCAUUGGAAGCUCAGAGUCCUAACCACUGGACCACCAGGGAAGUCCCAGCCUGGGGGUUUAUGGUAGGGGAGAAGCCGGUUGCCUGCCUCUCUAGAGGUGUGGUGUUAAUCCUUAACGCCAGAAGGGAAGAGCCUUCAUGGGGGAAGUCUGCAGGGGAAGCUUUAGAAAGAUCCCCCCAUGCACAGUGGGCAGCUUCACAUUCCUUUCUUUUUUUUUUUUUUCCGAAGACGAGGGCUGUCCUCCAGGGCAGCUUCCCCCAGAGAGGGCAAGAAAGGAGCAGGCAAGACAGAAGCCACAGAAUUUGUGUAACCUAAUCUUGGACAUCCCAUCGCUUUUGUGUUUUCUACUUGUUAGAAGCAGGUCCUUCGGUCCAGCCCACGCUCCAGCAAAGAAGAUUCCACAGGGACACAGAGGCAGAGACAUCAGAGCUCGCUCUCUCCACCAUGUGAAGACACAGCAAGAAGGCGGCUGUCUACAAGCCAGGAAGGGAGCUCUCACCAGACCCCGACCAUGCUGGCACCCUGAUCUUGGACUUCCAGCCUCCAGGAAGAGGAAGUGUGGACACGUAGAGAUGCCAGGGAUGUGUGUGCUCGGGGGAGACCCUGUGAGGACCCAGCAAGAAGGCAGCAUGUGCAGGCAAGGAGAGAGGCCUCAGGAGAGACCAGACCCCCGACACCUCGACCUUGGACUUUCAGCCUCCAGAACUGAGCACGAGUGGGGUGGGGCCUUCAGACGACCCAGGCUGUUUCCCACGAGGGGGAUCUGCAGGGUGAGGGGAACGAACCCACGAGAAGCAGCAGAGACUGGGCCUGUGAGCCCCUCCCAGGCCCGGCAUCCUGGGGCCCCGCUUGGCCGGCCUCAGGCUGGGGCCGCCACCUUUACCCCAAGCUCACGGGGUGGUUAAGCAGCUCAGACCCUUCCUGGCACAGACGUCUGCUUCCGUGGAUCGGACCCUGCGGAAAGGACCCCGCUGGCCCGGACCCACCGAAGAAGAGCUCAGGCCCGGCCUUGGAGGUGGGCCAGCGCCAGUGAAACCUGUACCGAGAAGAAGCAGCAAGGCAGCAAAGUGCCGCUCAGCACACCAUCCAGGGAGUCAGCCCAGAGGUGGGACAGGGUGCCCCUCCCCUUGCUGACUCCCGGCCUGCGCUCUGUCCUCUGGGCUCCACGUCUCAGGGACACCCUGGAGAAGGUGCAGCCAGGCAGCUCCGUGAGUGGCCGCCGAGCAUUACCAGUGGUGCCCAGGCCUGAAGGCCCCGUCCCUCCUCCUUAAUGAGGACAUGGACCUGAGCAUCCUUCCCGCCUCCUGGUAUCACCCUUGAGCUUGUUGCCAAAUCUGGCUCCCUGUGCACCUAUGCCGAAUAACAAUACGGAGACAGAGAAUUGGAAGAUAAGAAAUAGAGAGGCUUUUUAUUUUCUUUGCCAGGCAAAGGGAAGACACGGUAGGCUAACACCUCAAGAACUGUGCCCCCUCCUUGGGGAAUUGGAGAAGAUUUUAUAUGUGGGGCUCGCAGUCCGGGGCAUGUGAUAAAGGAUCAAAAGUAGUGAAGGCCUUGCAUUUCUUUUCUUCUGUAAAUUCAUGGCCAAAGCUGGCAUCAGGUGGCUCAUCAACCGGGUCUGGUGUUCCUGAAGUUAUCGGCCUGCGACCUUCUUUCUGAAACGAUGAGUGCCACAAGGGAGUGUAGGGGGAGAGAGGUGCCAGGUGCAAAGGGUCAUUUGUAUGGAGUCAGAGAGCAAUCAGCUUUGUGAAGGACAAGUCUAGCUACAAGUGUUUCUUAGUAGUAACAACUAAAGAAUAACCAAGAUUGCUUAACUCUUUCAGGCCUGUUUAUGCUGUUUCCUCAGCCUAUUCAUCGUUUCCUUAUUUUUCCUGGUUAUCAGGAGAGGAAAAAACCUCAUUUCUUUUUUUUUUUUUUUUGCGUUGGGUUUUUGUUGCUGCGUGCAG